RNAcentral lists this unclassified non-coding RNA (5810 nucleotides) under Haliotis rubra (blacklip abalone). Its description in RNAcentral is "protein cornichon homolog 1-like, transcript variant X1". The record is from RNAcentral. Lineage: Eukaryota; Metazoa; Mollusca; Gastropoda; Lepetellida; Haliotidae.
AAUCAUGGCGUUCACGUUUGCUGCGUUUUGCUACAUAGCCGCUCUUAUUUUUACUGCUGUGCUUAUAUUCUUCGUGAUAUUCCACAUAAUUGCAUUUGACGAGUUGAAAACAGACUACAAGAAUCCUAUAGACCAGUGUAACAGCUUGAAUCCGCUUGUGUUGCCUGAAUAUGCAAUACAGAUUCUCUACACAGUGCUGUUUGUGUUUGCCUGGCAGUUGGGGACUGUUCUCUUCAACCUGCCGCUGUUAGUGUAUCAUGUCAGAAGAUACAUGAACAGACCUGUCAUGAGCUCACCUGGUCUGUAUGACCCCACAACAAUAAUGAAUGCAGAUGAACUAAAUCGAGCACAGAGAGAAGGCUGGGUGAAACUGGCAUUUUAUCUGAUAUCAUUCUUCUAUUACCUUUACAGUAUGAUAUAUGUCCUGGUUUCCAACUGAGGAUGUGCUUGGUGUGGCGUGAAGAGGACAGCCAGUGUUUGUGUGAUGCAGAUGUUGACAUGGAAGUGACAAGUUGUCUGUGUAAAGUUAUGUUAGGGCUGACACAAGAUGGAAUCACAACAUUUAUCAUCAGAUAAUGUAGGCAGGAUAUUGUGCACAAUGCACAAAGGUUUGAGAACACAUUGAACAUGCUGUGACUUUAGGCUCUACUCUUAAGCUUGAGUCAAGUAAAAAGUAUUUCAUUCAAGUAGAUCUUUGCUAUUAAAGGUCCAUACAUUAACUCGAAAAUCUACUGAAAAUGAUAUCAGGUGAAGUCAGGCUAUGAGGUUAUUUGGCACAGACUGAAUUGUACUUUUUAAGUGAGGUCAUGUUAGUGGUGUCAUAUUUGUUUGUUUGAUUAAUGUUACAUCAUCUUAAAACUCUUCUAUAUUUACGUCAUCUUAAAGCCAGACUUCAGUUGUUCACUGUACCGGUAUACUGGGACCUUAACUUGUCAUAAAGCAUUUGACUAAGUAAGUGUAUAUUUGGUUUAAUUUUUCGAGGUUGUUAUUAAAAUACACAGUAGGUACGACUAGUCACGAGCAGUUCAGAUCUUCUAGCAAUGACUCCCACUGUAUACAAUAAUGCUUUACCUGAACUGACUGUGACAAGAUAUAUAAAGUUACGAUUGUGCAUUGUUUGUGUUAAUUUGAUUUCCUUUGUCACUAUAGUACCAGGUUUGUGUCCUAGAUUUAUGCAGAGUGUGAUAAUUGGUCUGUCACCAUUCUGUGGGGAGUAUGGAGAUCAGGAUAUGAAUACCCCAAGAAGAUUACAGUGUGGAUUUUUUGUCUGUUUAUGUGCACCAUGUUCCAUGUGGCCACAGUGACAAAUGGUUGUGACUCAACCAGCGUUUGUUAAGUUCACAUAACAGGUUCGUUUAGACUAAUCGUGUAAUGCUCUAUGUGAGAGGCAUUAAGGUAAAUACAGACCAGUAGUUAUCUAGUCUGAUGCUCAUGUCAUUGAUCACUGGCUUGUCUGGUCCAGACUCAGUUAUUUACAGACUGCUGCCAUGUAGCUGGAAUAUUGCUGAGUGCGACAUUAAACAACAAUUAAACCAAACCCUAGUUAUCAGUUAUUGUAACUCUUGCACUUUUGGAAAAGAAUCACACAUUAAAAUAUGAAUUCCUAAAUGGGUAGAUGUUUCCCAAAGUCAGGUGUAAGUGUGUGUCUUAUAAGACUGUUAUCCCUUUUAACAGUGUUAUAGUGACUGACGCCACACUUAAUCUUCACAUCAUAUGAUCAUAUGUAAAUAAAGGUGAAGCAAACUCUUUAGUCCAUCUUCUAAUGUUGUAUGUCUAACUUGAUGAUACUUGAGAUUUCAAUGGAUUGCUCAAAUGGCUUUUCCCUAAACUGACCCACCUUUUGUAUUGUUCUGGUGCUUUUCACAUUCUUACAUAUAGCUUUUUGUUACACGAUGUGUGUUUUGUGUUGUCAAGGAAGCUGUAGGUGGUAACAUUGGGGAUAGGUAGUGGGUGUGGUUUUGAAGAGGGUCGGUCUUGGAACAUAAAAUCUAAAAUCUAAGUGCUUGACCUACUUCAACUUUCAUGGUAGUUCAUUUUGCUAACAUGUUUUGUGUUCACUAAAUAGUCAAGUCUGGUCGAGACAGGUUUAGAUUAAAUUUUACUAAUCCAUGCAAUUAGGAUGCAACAACAUACGAACAACCAAUUCACCAAGCCGGACUACCUGAUACAUUUAGUCACAUCUCAUGACAAGCUUAGAUUGCACGAGGACCUUUAUUCUUACCCCGGAUUCUCACAGCUGUGAAAAAAGCAAAUUUACAGACCAUGAUACAUGGGGAGCAAUCAGAACACUAGAAUCCCUCUAUUGCUGACUCAGAAACAAAAUCACAAUACAAUGAGAGUUGCAAAAGAAAGCGGUGGAAUUUGUAAGGUAGUGAAAUGGAUAUAUAUCAGCAUACUUCCUCUUGAGGAAAGGGAAUAUAGGUUAUCACGCGAGUGUGUUUUGGGAUGGUUAAUAUCCUGCAGAAGGAAUAAUCAUUGUAUUUAGCUAGCCUUGGCGAGCUAAACACAUAGUGUUUAUUCCUAAUGCAGGAUAUUAACCAUCCCAAAACACAAGUGUGAUAACCUAUUUAUCAUACGUCAUUUUUGCUUUAUAAUUUAAAAAAAUGAGAUUUCAAAUGAAAUACUGGCUAUUGCAAUGUGAGUCACACUUUCUGAAAACUACAUUGUUCUUCAAAGCAGAAGAUAGAUUGUUUUCUGAUUGACGGCUUAACAAUGUCACUUGUCAUGUUAGUAGCUAGAUGCAUAUCAUGUGAUAUACUGACUUCUUCCAAUAUGUCCAAUGCAAUUAAUCAAAUGUAGUUUCAAAAUUAAUAGCACCUUCCAGGUAAUUUUCCCCAUUGAUGUGUCAGGGUGUGUCUAUAUUUUUGUAUUGUCUGUGUGUAUGCAGUGGCAUAGUUCCAUAUCCCAGUGCUUAUAUUCCAUUUACUGCCAAAUCAGAAGAUUGGCUCUUGUGAAGUAGAUAACCAGUGCUUUGUCAGUGAACAGGAAGUUGUGACAUAUCAAUCAAAAAUGUAUUUGAAUAUGUAUUUUGUAUUGUAUCAAGUGUACUGUGCUCAGCGUCGGGAUGACAUCUGAAGACUGUCUUUUGAUUGGUGUAUGAGAGUAAAGUUAAGAUCUACUGCCAAAGUUGGUUCAUGAUAACAGAAGUGAAAUCAUGAGCCUCUUUAAUUGUUGUUUUCGGUUUCUUUAAAGCAUUUUAAACACAUGUAUCAGCAAUUUCUUCCUGAGAGUUUAUGUGAUAUUAAGGACUUCUGCAUUUUGAUGUUUUAGUCCAAACGUAUAGGACUUUCCAAUUGAAAAUAUGAAGAAUUAUCACUCUCUGUCUUCACAGUUUUGCAUAAAUAUAUAAUGAAUUGCAUUUAACCUUUUAAAAUAUUCUAGAGAUUAAAAUGUGUAGGUAUAUUAUGUGUAGGUAUAUUAUAGUUUCAAUAUAUCCGAUGUCCUUAUUUUGUAGAAAAUGUUUAAAAAUGAGCACAUUUACAUAUAUUCCUUAAUUUGUUUUUGGCAGUGACAUUCCACUGAUUAUGUCAUUCAGUGCUGUGAUGUCAUGACGCCAUUACUAAAAUUGUAGCAACACUGCUCUACUUGACUUUUGCUACAAACAACAUGUGACAGUUGCAAACCAUGUUCUUUACUAACUUUGGCAAUUUUAUGUUUGGAUUUUUUUUUAUUUUAGUAGCAAAAACACUCCCAGUACAGAACCAUCUGAGUUGGUCCAUGAUCACAAAAGCAUGGCAGACAUCCUAAAAAAGAUUCCACUUUGGCUUUAGUUACUAAUUAUUUUUGUAAAAUCUUGUCAGUGAAACAGGAAUGAUUGUAUUAUAGUGGAAUAUAUGUUUAUUAAGUUAUGUAGGCACACUUCAGUGAGGGAAAAGUAUUAGGUGCAGAUAGUUUGGUGGUUUCACCACCUACAGAGUGAUGUACUGGUAGCGCUGAUGUUUGUUGGUAUGUGUGUUGAGGGGAAUGUACAGUAAGCAUUGGUUAAUCUAGAUAACCAAGUCAUGUACAGUGACACAUUUGUUUAUACACUUUGUUUCUGUGGUUGUUAUUACCUCUAUUUACUCAAGGCAAUGUACAUUUAACUUGUUUCAUCUGUGCUUGGUUUUGUAGACAUUUAGUUUAUAUUAAUAUUUUAUCAUUUUUCCCAGUUGGCUAUUUUCAGUUCUGUAUUACUGAUAAUUAUUUUUGAUCUCAGGUCUAUGUUUUGGGAGCCUUUUGUUAAUUACUCAACAGAAAAGUGAAUUCCACUUCACCACCUUGUCUCACACUGUUAAGUCUUCUUGCUUUUCUGUUUUCAACCUAGGUUUGUGUACGAUUGAAAACUACCAGUUCUGAUACUUUAGCCUUGCUUAUUAUGUUUGUCUUCAUUUUAAUGACUCACACUUCUACAUGCCUUUUUGCUGCCAAAACCUUGGAGUUGUUUCAUGUUUCUUUGCUUUGCCUGUAAUGUGUAUGUUGCACAUUUAAUGGUGAAGAGAAAGAUAGUAGAAAGGAAAAAAGAAACCAAUGAAAACUAGUCGGGUUGUUUGCAGAAAAUUGCAAACUAAUAAUCUGAUAAUAAUCAGCACAACUCUUUUGGUGGUUUUUGAGAUUUUGAGAAAUCAAAGAAUGACAACUAGUUUUCCUUACCUUCAUACAUACCUCCAUACAGGGCAAGUUCUAUAAAGUGAAUGUCAAGGUUAUUCUGAAUAUAAAAUGACCAUGAAUAAACUUCACUUUCAGUGAUGGGAAAUGGUGUCCUUCACUGCUCAGAUAUUGUUAGUUAUGCUUCAGUGGUAUCCUUGUUUGAUUGAACAUUAGCCAUGUAACCAGAAACAGGCAAGUUUAACAUUUAGGAGAGGUCAGCUUUAGAACUUGUGGAAUUCUUUGUUAUUUUCAUAUUUGGUCCAUUGGUGAAGUCUAGUGAUUGGUUCAUUCUCUCUGGACAGUGGUUAGUUUAGGACAUAAUUACAAAUGUAUUCUGAUCAUUAUUCAUGCCAUCAGGUGAAAAUAAAUAGCUGAUACUUGUGUAGCUUAAAGGAAACAUACAAUAUAUGAAAGGAGAGAAAUUCAUUUUUCUGAUCAUCCUUGAUUUACGAGUGUGUUAUGUCUUUGUUUAUAUAUACCCUUGACCAUAGCUUCAUCUUGAGACAGAUUCAAACGUCAUGACACUUAGAAGCGAGAGAAGCUAUGUGCCAUGUUAGAGAUAGGAGCAAUGGAGGUUGUAACGUUAUUUUCAGAGAGGAAGUUGGUUGUGAAUGGCUCAUCCAAGAAAAUGGAGGGAUGAUAAACCUGAUAAUCCAGGAUGAUUUGUUGUUAUACAAUAGAAGAUUUCCUGCAUGUAAGACGUAUAUAGUAUGGAUACCACUGCCAAGUACAUGUAUCACGCUUUUGCACUUGUCUGCUGUAAUAAACUUUUUUCGAUAUAAUAUUUACAAACAAUAAAACAUGAAUUUCAUCUUAAUUUAAAACUAAAAUGAGUUUUGAAUAUCCUCCAGUGCAAGCCAAAGAUCCUACAUCUAAAUAUACAAAUCACUUUAGAAAGAUAUGUAAUUAAUGCCUAUGCAGGGUGAAAAUAAUGUUCUCUAGUCCAGUUUGAAUAGAUUUUAUGCUCAGCUGUUUUAUUCUGUUUCUUUACUAAUGGUAAAAGCUCCUCUUUGUGUCAUUAUCACUUGGUGAUGAACCAAUUUGAUUUCAGCUUUCUGAACUUUAAUUGUCUUAAGUCUAAUUUAUGUAAGUUAUUAAACCACUUUCAAUUGGAAUGACAUAUGAACAAUGCUUCAACAUUUGAACAAUUCUUUUUGCAGUUUUAAUAAAGAAAUUUUUAACAA